AUUGAACGCUGGCGGCAGGCUUAACACAUGCAAGUCGAGCGGAAGCACAGGGGUUCUUGCUGGCUGGGUGGCGGGCGGCGGGCGGGUGAGUAAUGUCUGUGAAACUGCCUGAUGGAGGGGGAUAACUACUGGAAACGGUUACUAAUACCGCAUAACGUCGGAAGACCAGAGAGGGUGGGAUUCGGGCCUCUUGCCGGCAGAUAUGCCCGGAUGGGAUGAGCUAGUCGGUGGGGUAAUGGCUCACCUAGGCGACGAUCCCUAGCUGGUCUGAGAGGAUGAUCAGCCACACUGGAACUGAGACACGGUCCAGACUCCUACGGGAGGCAGCAGUGGGGAAUAUUGGACAAUGGGCGCAAGCCUGAUGCAGCCAUGCCGCGUGUGUGAAGAAGGCCUUCGGGUUGUAAAGCACUUUCAGCGGGGAGGAAGGUGGUGAGCUUAAUACGCUCAUCAAUUGACGUUACUAGCAGAAGAAGCACCGGCUAACUCCGUG
RNAcentral lists this ribosomal RNA (490 nucleotides) under uncultured bacterium. RNAcentral's name for it is "partial 16S ribosomal RNA". It matches the Rfam family "Bacterial small subunit ribosomal RNA", at positions 30 to 507 of the family's 1533-position model. The record is from RNAcentral.